RNAcentral lists this long non-coding RNA (1296 nucleotides) under Ananas comosus (pineapple). RNAcentral describes it as "long non-coding RNA (ACOM_LNC007016)". The record is from RNAcentral. Lineage: Eukaryota; Viridiplantae; Streptophyta; Magnoliopsida; Poales; Bromeliaceae.
AGACGCCAUGCGUAGUUGAGACAGGUUUAGGCGAUACGCCUACGUAGGAUUGGUGACCUGUGGUUCACCUAUGGAUUUGAGGAAAGUGGCUGAGCGAGUAGCCUCAGCGAUGGGUGUGGCCUAGAUUUACGAACGGGAGUUCACGUGAAUUCGUUACAAGAACGAGUUGAUGAUGAUCGUGGCAUAUGGUAUUCAAGGAUAUACUGCUCGUGCGAGACAUUGAGCUAUUGGAAGCCACGAGAGAUAGAGGAUUGAAGUUGAUGCUCCUAAGUGAAUUGGAGCUUGGGGAUAAUGUUCUUUUAUGGAUUGAGAUUGGAGAUGUACCGGAACGUGCCAUCUCGUAGUAGAGCAAGGAUCCGGUUGAGGAUUGGAGCACUCAUGAUUGGUCGAUGCACCAACGAUAUUGCUUCUAAGCAAUGCCGGUGAUCGAAUCGGAGUGUGUUCCCUGGCGGGAUGUGAAGUGCAAAGUGGAGUUCUUUGCGGGCUGGUUGGCGAGAGCUGUAAGAAUGUGUAGAGUUGUUGAAUGUCAACUUACACUACCACCGAGACUCACGGAGCCGUAAUGCACUUUCGGAGUUACACUUAGCAAAUGUGAGUGAAUUUGGUCUCACAUCUCUCGUAGUAGGCCUUUGGAUAGUUCCAAUGAGAGAAAGGCCACUCCGAGAUGGAAAAGUGCAUUGGAGUCCCCGAUUGCCCAAUGAAUUGAGUUGAAAUGAGUUAGUUUCGGGGAUGAAACACUUUUUAAGGAGGGGAGGAUGUAAGGUGCCGAACUUCUGUAGUUAUGAAGUUGCGGUGGAACAUAAUAUACCGAAUUUUAAUAUAAAAAUGAAAAUAAAUAAAAAUAGUAUGAGAUACUAUUUUUAUUGGAUUUGGAGAAGUGAAAUAUGAGUUAGAAACAACCUGUGUUGAAAUCGGAGUGAAAACAGAAGAUUUGAAAUUUUCUGUGAAAAACGGGGCAGAUAAAUUAGCAAAAAAUGCAUAGUGUCAGAAAAUUAUGAAAACUGGAGGAUAUGUCAGAAUUAUUUUUAUGAGGCUAGAUUUAAAGUUUCAUACCAUUCUGACACCCGAAAAGUAAAAAAUAAAAUCCGACAGUUAUCUGUUAAAGAUUGCAGUUCGGUAUAGUUUUCAGUGACCAAACGGGGCCGAAACUGAAAGUUUAAGAUAUAUUCUUGCUCAGUACGUUAAACCAAGCCAGCCUGUCAAAUUUGAGCUCAAACGGACAUUCAGAGGGCUUCGGCGAAAGAUAUCAGAUUUCGAGUUGCCCGAAGUGAAUAGUGUUUUGAGGGGUGUUAAUUA